Molecule: long non-coding RNA, 1436 nt
Organism: Diabrotica virgifera virgifera (western corn rootworm)
Lineage: Eukaryota; Metazoa; Arthropoda; Insecta; Coleoptera; Chrysomelidae
Exons: 2
Source: RefSeq, a predicted model, not a curated record
UUUCGUGGGAACUCAUGGAUUUGUUAUUGCAAAGAUAGCGAGUUCGUAUUGGUCGAAAGAAAAAAUCAUGGUUUUUGUAGGAUGUCCUGAGUAUGAUUUUCUAGCUAACCCGAUUGGUAGAGAAAUGUUUCGAAUGAUCAUUAUUGGACAAAGUAGGUGAUGGCUGUUAGAAUGGGAGGUAACUUCUUUUUUUUUUAAAGGGGGAACCCAAGUUUGAGGAGAUCGAGUAGGCAGUUCCAUCUGGGCCAUCAUCAAGUUAAGUUCUGUUGAAUCCGUCACCAAGUACAGUUCCAUUUGAGAGUUCUGUCAGGUCUUUCAUCAAGAAGUUUAUUUUUAAGUUGAGUUAGCCUGGGAGGGUCCGUUGCUUGCAGCGGUACCUGAAGGGUUGAGUUAAAAGUUUAGUUUGAAGUUGCAGACAGUUUAAAGUGACGUUAAAAUUCAGUUACCAGUUCUUCGCGGCUAAGAAAUCAGCGCGGCAAUGCAGUGUGGUGGAUAAAUGGAACUCCGGCAAUUUUCGUUGCUGUCAAACGAAUUGUCGAUAAUUUAUAAAUAGCAUUUUUGGUAUUCUUUUUUUUAUGCAGUCAGAUCCAGGAAUUAUGCAGAAUAAGUUUUCUUUUUUCUGUUAGUAGUUUCAACCCCCUAGGAUUCCUAAGGUUGCUAGUAAAUUUUGAUCCCAUUUAAUGAACUUUUAAUAUUUUUGUUCGAGUAGUAGUAAAUUUUGAUCCCGUUUAAUGAACUUUAAAAUAUUUUUGUUCGAGUACAAAGCUGAAUUUUUCUAUGAUAAUUUUUUUUAUAAACUACGGAUACUCUUAUGUACCUGUAAAUAUUGUGAAGUGACUUUCGCGUAGUGAAAUAGCGUCUGGGACUUACAAACCAACCAACAACCAGAAGAAACCAGGACAAUGAUUGUAAAGGUAUCAUUUUUAUGUUUGUAGAACCUUUUGUUUCAUUUUUUUUUUUAUUUGGUAAUCUGGAUCUCAAUCUGUAACACCGAGAGAUCAGAAAUUCAUUUUCUUUGCUAUUUUUUAAUAAAUAAUGUUUUGAUUUGCAAAAUACAAAUCUUAUUAUUUCCUUUCCUUUUCUCUUGCAUCAUAAGAACAAUAAAGAAUUGGCUGAGUAUAGAAUAUUGAGUAUAGAGUAAAUAAGUUACAGAAAACAAGAGACAUCCUUGCCAGAAAUCAAAUGUAGAGGAUGUACAGAGGUAGACACAAAGUGAUCAACCAUCUGAACAGGUAAUAGCCAGGUGGCUGGAAAAACCGGUAAGGAAAAUAUGUACAAAACCAAAACAAGUAUCUACAGAAAAAUAUGUCCAGAAGUCCACUACAUGAUGAAUCAAGUAUCCAACAAGAAAGAAGUCCUUCCUUUGAAUAAGAAAAGAAAUAUGGUAAAAAAUAAAAUGUACAUAUGAUUUAAUGCAAUAAAUGUUUUCAUUUUUA